Molecule: ribosomal RNA, 253 nt
Filed under: uncultured bacterium
Lineage: Bacteria
Description: partial 16S ribosomal RNA
Rfam family: Bacterial small subunit ribosomal RNA
Source: RNAcentral
UACGGGGGGGGCAAGCGUUGUUCGGAAUUACUGGGCGUAAAGGGCGCGUAGGCGGCCUGUUAAGUCGAACGUGAAAUCCCUAGGCUCAACCUAGGAACUGCGUCCGAUACUGGCAGGCUUGAAUCCGGGAGAGGGAUGCGGAAUUCCAGGUGUAGCGGUGAAAUGCGUAGAUAUCUGGAGGAACACCGGUGGCGAAGGCGGCAUCCUGGACCGGCAUUGACGCUGAGGCGCGAAAGCCAGGGGAGCAAACGGG